Molecule: ribosomal RNA, 298 nt
Filed under: uncultured bacterium
Lineage: Bacteria
Description: partial 16S ribosomal RNA
Rfam family: Bacterial small subunit ribosomal RNA
Source: RNAcentral
CUAUGCGCCUUGCCAGCCCGCUCAGGUGUGCCAGCCGCCGCGGUAAUACGUAGGGAGCGAGCGUUAUCCGGAAUUAUUGGGCGUAAAGGGUGCGUAGAUGGCAUAGUAAGUCUUUUGUAAAAAUGCUGGGCUCAACCCAGUAGGGCAAAAGAUACUGCAAAGCUAGAGUAUGACAGAGGCAAGUGGAACUACAUGUGUAGCGGUAAAAUGCGUAAAUAUAUGUAAGAACACCAGUGGCGAAGGCGGCUUGCUAGGUCGAUACUGACAUUGAGGCACGAAAGCGUGGGGAGCAAACAGG